Molecule: small nuclear RNA, 102 nt
Organism: Cornus florida
Lineage: Eukaryota; Viridiplantae; Streptophyta; Magnoliopsida; Cornales; Cornaceae
Source: RefSeq, a predicted model, not a curated record
GUCCAAUUGGGACAUUUGGAACACUCUUUUUGAGAUAGAGAAGUUUAGCAUGGACCUGCGCAAGGAUGACACGCUUAAAUCGAGAAAUUGGUCCAAAUUUUU